GAUGAACGCUAGCUACAGGCUUAACACAUGCAAGUCGCGGGGCAGCAUGGGGGUUGCUUGCAAUCCCCGAUGGCGACCGGCGCACGGGUGAGUAACGCGUAUCCAACCUGCCCUUCACCACGGGAUAACCCGGCGAAAGUCGGACUAAUACCGUAUGUUGUCCAUUGACGGCAUCCGAUUUGGACGAAAGGUUUGGCGGUGAAGGAUGGGGAUGCGUCCGAUUAGCUGGACGGCGGGGUGACGGCCCACCGUGGCGACAAUCGGUAGGGGUUCUGAGAGGAAGGCCCCCCCACCUGGAACUGAGACACGGUCCAGCCUCCUACGGGAGGCAGGAGUGAGGAAUAUUGGUAAAUGGGCGUAAGCCUGAACCAGCCAAGUAGCGGGCAGGAUGACGGCCCUAUGGGUUGUAAACUGCUUUUAUGCGGGGAUAAAGGGGCCCACGUGUGGGUUUUUGCAGGUCCCGCAUGAAUAAGGACCGGCUAAUUCCGU
This 489-nucleotide ribosomal RNA is filed under the name uncultured bacterium. RNAcentral's name for it is "partial 16S ribosomal RNA". It matches the Rfam family "Bacterial small subunit ribosomal RNA", at positions 28 to 506 of the family's 1533-position model. The record is from RNAcentral.